This 253-nucleotide ribosomal RNA is filed under the name uncultured bacterium. Its description in RNAcentral is "partial 16S ribosomal RNA". It matches the Rfam family "Bacterial small subunit ribosomal RNA", at positions 524 to 776 of the family's 1533-position model. The record is from RNAcentral.
UACGUAGGGUGCGAGCGUUGUCCGGAAUUACUGGGCGUAAAGAGCUCGUAGGUGGUUCGUCGCGUUGUUCGUGAAAACUCACAGCUUAACUGUGGGCGUGCGGGCGAUACGGGCAGACUGGAGUACUGCAGGGGAGACUGGAAUUCCUGGUGUAGCGGUGGAAUGCGCAGAUAUCAGGAGGAACACCGGUGGCGAAGGCGGGUCUCUGGGCAGUAACUGACGCUGAGGAGCGAAAGCGUGGGGAGCGAACAGG